This 609-nucleotide long non-coding RNA is filed under the name Olea europaea subsp. europaea. Lineage: Eukaryota; Viridiplantae; Streptophyta; Magnoliopsida; Lamiales; Oleaceae. The record is from RNAcentral.
CAAUGGCUAGUCCAUAGCAGCUAGCAGAACGAAGAGAAAUGGAUGGAGCACCAAGUGAUGGGACAUAUGCUCUCAACCACAGUUGAGUGAACCAAAGAGGCCCACUACCAGUGGGAGAUGUACCAUUCUUCAAUUGAAAUUGAAGAGAAGCCAUGCCUCUAUAAAGGGCAACCAAAAAGAAGGAAUACAAAUUCAAAGGCCUACCACGCGCCAAUUCAUACGCUAUAGGUAAGUAACUCAUGGAAGGCUUCAUACUUGGCACGCAGAGAAUAUAUUUACAUAGCCAAAUUUGAAGAAAGGUCACACGCUCAGCAUGGGAAGGUUCAGCGUUUGAGUGAUUAUAAAAGCCUUGUAGGCUUGAGUAGGACUCAGUGAGUUUCUUGUCAAAUUUCGGGGCGACACCGGAAAUCAAAAUACCAGGGAAAAUGGUAUCACCCAAAGGUGGAAGAUUUACUAGGGCCCCAACAUCCUUUAAAGUAAUAGACAUGGGACCAAGAGAGAAAACAAAAGUAUUAUAUUCAAAAGACCAAAAACUUAAAGUAAUAGGAAAAAGCACUGGGUCAAAAUUUGGGGGUUGAAGAGCGAUUUCUAAUAAAUCAGAAAUCCUAG